CUUCUCCCUUUUGUCCAGGGCUGCUGGAGAAUUCCAGAGAGCAAGCAGGGAGAGCCAGUGAAUUCAACUCUGCCAAGGCUGGCCCCAAACCCUGCCGAGCUGAGGGGUGGUCUGGCGGCAUUACCAGAGCGCCAUCCUCCAUCUGCCAUCCAUACCAAACGCGUGGACGUUCCAGAAGAGGCCAUCUCGAGGGUUCUGCCUACUGCCUGGCUCUCCCAAUACGGACGCCCCUUCCCCUUCCCAUUACUGUCCAGAGGCUGUACCCCCUGCUCUGGAACCCCGCCUUCUUACCUGCUAAGCUCAUAGUGACCCAGUUGCCCAGUGAGUCCCUUCCCCCACUGUGUGCUUACCCACCAUUGGCUGCUCCUGUACAAAGCCGUGAGUGAGGUGUGUGUGUUAAGGAGGGCAAGUAGAGGCCCUUACUACCUACCUGGUCAGCCACCUCUACAUCCUGGCCACUUCUUGUGAGCUUCUGCACCAACCUAGGCUAUGUUAGCUGCUUUCCUACCCACCCGGUGUUGUGAAUUCCUGCUCAACUUUCCUGGUAUCCAUCCAGGCCAGCCUUGUUCUCCUGCAGAGGGGUGUGUGUGUGUGUGUGUGUGUGUGUGUGUGUGUGUGUGUGUGUGUGUGUGUGUUCUAACCUGCUUGGGUAGAGGGUGUGUGUGUGUGUGUGUGUGUGUGUGUGUGUGUGUGUGUUCUAACCUG
RNAcentral lists this long non-coding RNA (705 nucleotides) under Rattus norvegicus (Norway rat). Its description in RNAcentral is "long non-coding RNA NONRATT000886". The record is from RNAcentral. Lineage: Eukaryota; Metazoa; Chordata; Mammalia; Rodentia; Muridae.